This 497-nucleotide ribosomal RNA is filed under the name uncultured bacterium. RNAcentral describes it as "partial 16S ribosomal RNA". It matches the Rfam family "Bacterial small subunit ribosomal RNA", at positions 28 to 507 of the family's 1533-position model. The record is from RNAcentral.
GAUGAACGCUGGCGGCGUCCCUAAUACAUGCAAGUCGAGCGAACGGACGAGAAGCUUGCUUCUCUGAUGUUAGCGGCGGACGGGUGAGUAACACGUGGAUAACCUACCUAUAAGACUGGGAUAACUUCGGGAAACCGGAGCUAAUACCGGAUGAUAUUUUGAACCGCAUGGUUCAAAAGUGAAAGACGGUCUUGCUGUCACUUAUAGAUGGAUCCGCGCUGCAUUAGCUAGUUGGUAAGGUAACGGCUUACCAAGGAAACGAUGCAUAGCCGACCUGAGAGGGUGAUCGGCCACACUGGAACUGAGACACGGUCCAGACUCCUACGGGAGGCAGCAGUAGGGAAUCUUCCGCAAUGGGCGAAAGCCUGACGGAGCAACGCCGCGUGAGUGAUGAAGGUCUUCGGAUCGUAAAACUCUGUUAUUAGGGAAGAACAUAUGUGUAAGUAACUGUGCACAUCUUGACGGUACCUAAUCAGAAAGCCACGGCUAACUACGUG